AUGUAACAUAAAAAAUAAAUAUAUCAUAUAUCAAACUCUACUUCUCUCUCUUUAAGCCCUUUCUCUCAUUCUCAUUGCCUCUUCUCUCUAAACCCUAGAUUAAACACCAAAUUGAUACACCUCGCGGUGUCCGUCUCUCACUCUCACGGUGAAUAUCUCUGAUGUUUUUAUCGCUCCUUUUGGAUUAGGAAUAGGCGGUUUUUUAAAUGUUAUGGUCUGCUGUAUUAUUGACUUGUUUUGGUCUGCAAACUACAACUGAAACUGUAAUGAUUCUAGGAUACAAUACUUGGAAUUUACGAUUCUGUGAUGAUGUUGUCGCUAAGUUAUGUUUGUCCUGUGAUUGAGAAACAAGACAAAGGCCAAGCGAAUUUCUCUCUCGAAUCUCACUGCUCAGGUUUUUAUGCACCUUGCUCUCAUCCUUGGCUCUUCUUUCUGAAAAUUUGCCUAUUGAGUCUGCUAAGGAACAAUCAUCUCUUCUAGCUAGAAUUGGUGUCCUGUUCCCGACAUUCUUCUCAACACAAGUUUCUUUGCACUUGAACAAAGCCUAGUUAAGGCAUAAGCUAAGAAGGUGGCUAGUAAAGCAAAUCAAUGGCAUCAAAAGGUAAUGUUAAUGUACGAUGUAAUAAAAGUAAGAAAGGAACUGAUAAUAUUCCUACAGGUCAAUGUACACUACCACCACCACCACCAUCUGUUACCACAAUUCUUCAACCAUCUACUACAAAUAUUCCUCCCCCUCCUAGAUGUAGUAUUUCAGUACCAAAUGCAUUUUUCAUGCCUCCACCGUCUGACCAGUUGCACACCUCUUCAUCCCAAAAUAGUUUUCAUAGUAGCUCUUCAUCUGUGCAAUAUUGAGAGGCUACGAAUCGUCCCUUAUCGUAAUGGGUAAGUAACACUUAUGUUUUCCUUAAUUUUUAAUAGCUAAGAUGCUGGUUUAAUAUAAUCUUAUUGCAGGUUCAUUCCAGCAUAUACCGUCGGGCAUAUGGUUAUUGAAGCAAUUAAACCAUUUUACACAAAGCCGUGGAAUAGUUGGUUGGAGAUUCCAUGGGAAAUUAGAAUUGUCAUGCGGAAACAAUUUAGUGUAUAAGCAGUUUUAUAAGCUAUGAAUAUCAUUGACUAAAGAUAGUUUUUUCAUUGCAUCCAUUAACUCAUUUUAUGACUUUAUAUUAAACUAUUUUGCAGACAAAGUGUACAUGGAGUGAUUGUCAUGAUAAUGAAGUAGACCGCAUUUUUCGGUUGAAAGCAGCUCUACAGAUAAAAGAACACUUGUAUGAGGCCCAGAGGAAAUUGAUAAAACCUGGGUGGUUGAAUGAUGAAGUAUGGACCCAGUUCUUGAUAUUAUGGGACACUCCUGAAUUUAAGGCAAAGAGGAACGAGGAAAGCCAAAUCGAGCCUCUGAAACAGGUGGCUCGCUACACACCGGAGGUUCUAUGAGUUUCGCUACCAACAAAAGAAGACUGAACUUCUUAAAUGGGGGAGUAGUUGUACCUAUUCCUAAGACCUUCAAAGAGACAUAAGAAGAAAAAUCUGGACGGUCCAAGAGAAGAAUGGGUCGAACUGCGUGCUAAGGAUGCAUAUGAUUUCAAAAAAGCAUUGAAGAUUGGCGUCAAACCCAACCUGCUUCAGAGGAUGGUACCAUGGUCCAACCAUCGCCUGGUGAUAUGAAUAGAACGUGGACAAAUGUGGUAGAUGGUCCAAAAAAGGGUAACACCUACGGGCUUGGAGGUAAACAAUCCUCGAGUAGUUCUUCCCCAAUGCUGCCCAACUCUGCUUCUAUUUCGCAAAAUACGGAAGAAAUGGAAACGAUGAGAACAAAAAUUGAAGAGUUGACGCAACACUGUGUCAAAUUGCCAAGUUUGAAGCGUUAGUCAAGAAGAAUAUGCCGCAAGUAUUUGAGGAUGGGGAAGACAGUGCAGAUGAUUAGAUUGUAGCAGUUGGUUUUUGUUUAUGAUUGUGACAUUUAAACUUAGAAUAUUAGAAUUGGUGUUUGUUGUGGAUUGUGACGUUUCAAUUGACUUGUCUUGAAAUGCUUAAACUAUUUGAUUCCA
This is a long non-coding RNA of Capsicum annuum, 2045 nucleotides long. RefSeq lists it as uncharacterized. The transcript is spliced from 6 exons. Lineage: Eukaryota; Viridiplantae; Streptophyta; Magnoliopsida; Solanales; Solanaceae. The record is from RefSeq and is a predicted model, not a curated record.